Molecule: ribosomal RNA, 329 nt
Filed under: uncultured eukaryote
Lineage: Eukaryota
Description: partial 18S ribosomal RNA
Rfam family: Eukaryotic small subunit ribosomal RNA
Source: RNAcentral
CCCUUAGAUGUCCUGGGCCCCACGCGCGCUACACUGAGUGUCUGAGAUACGAGUCUGCCUGGUCCGGCAAGGUCUAGGUAAUCGCUAAAAGACACAUCAUGCUUGGGAUAGAUUAUUGCAAAUAUUAAUCUUGAACGAGGAAUUCCUAGUAAGCGCAAGUCAACAGCUUGCGUUGAUUACGUCCCUGCCCUUUGUACACACCGCCCGUCGCUACUACUGAUUGGAUGUUUAAGCGAGGUUCUCGAACUGCUAGCGACUUAGCUUCGGUGAGGUCGCAGUGUGGGAAGUGAACCUAGCUUUGGUGUCUAGAGGAAGUAAAAGUCGUAACA